GACGAACGCUGGCGGCGUGCUUAACACAUGCAAGUCGAACGGAAAGGCCCUGCUUUUGUGGGGUGCUCGAGUGGCGAACGGGUGAGUAACACGUGAGUAACCUGCCCUUGACUUUGGGAUAACUUCAGGAAACUGGGGCUAACACCGGAUAGGAGCUCCUGCUGCAUGGUGGGGGUUGGAAAGUUUCGGCGGUUGGGGAUGGACUCGCGGCUGAUCAGCUUGUUGGUGGGGUAGUGGCUUACCAAGGCGUUGACGGGUAGCCGGCCUGGGAGGGUGACCGGCCACAUUGGGACUGAGAUACGGCCCAGACUCCUACGGGAGGCAGCAGUGGGGAAUAUUGCACAAUGGGCGGAAGCCUGAUGCAGCAACGCCGCGUGCGGGAUGACGGCCUUCGGGUUGUAAACCGCUUUCGCCUGUGACGAAGCGUGAGUGACGGUAAUGGGUAAAGAAGCACCGGCUAACUACGUG
Molecule: ribosomal RNA, 468 nt
Filed under: uncultured bacterium
Lineage: Bacteria
Description: partial 16S ribosomal RNA
Rfam family: Bacterial small subunit ribosomal RNA
Source: RNAcentral